UAAGGAAUAUUGGACAAUGGUCGGAAGACUGAUCCAGCCAUGCCGCGUGAAGGAUGAAGGCGCUCAGCGUUGUAAACUUCUUUUGUGUAGGAACAAAACCACCCAUGCGUGGGUGUCUGAGGGUACUACAAGAAUAAGCACCGGCUAACUCCGUGCCAGCAGCCGCGGUAAUACGGAGGGUGCAAGCGUUAUCCGGAAUCACUGGGUUUAAAGGGUGCGUAGGCGGUUUUUUAAGUCAGUUGUGAAAUUCCCUCGCUUAACGAGUGGGACUGCGAUUGAUACUGAAGAACUUGAAUCAGGUUGAGGUAGGCGGAAUGAGACAUGUAGCGGUGAAAUGCAUAGAUAUGUCUUAGAACACCGAUUGCGAAGGCAGCUUGCUGGACCUGUAUUGACGCUGAGG
Molecule: ribosomal RNA, 400 nt
Filed under: uncultured bacterium
Lineage: Bacteria
Description: bacterial SSU rRNA
Rfam family: Bacterial small subunit ribosomal RNA
Source: RNAcentral